AUGUGGCUUUUGUCACCAACCCUACGUGGGCAUCCAGCCCUGCCUCUGGCUCAGGGCUCCACACCAGGGCCUAUCAGAGAGCCUUCGAGUAUCACAGCUCUGUUUUUGCCUGCAUAGCUGCACAGACUUGAAAUGCAGAUCCACAUGCUCAAAUGCAUGAGAGUGGAAGGAAGGGGACUUAAAGAAGAGAAAGCACGCGACGUGUCCUGACAAGAAAGCUUUAAGUAACUGAGGAGAACAGAGACAAAAUCCAUAGGACCCACAUGACAGACCUCUGAGGCAGACCAAAGACAUACGCCUGGAAAGUGAUCUCCUGAGGCUGUUGCCAAACAAUACCAUGUAUACAGUAUAAAACACUCUUACCUGCAUUCUGGGAAACUUUCAGAAGACAAGUACAUGAAACAUGAUCACUGCUCUCCUGUGAUUACAGAGAAAUCGACAACAAAAGAUGGCACGAUGAUUAAUUUGACUAGCUUGAUUUGCUUCAUAUGUGGUCUUCCAGAAUGCCAGCUGCACAGACACUGAGGCAAAACCAAACUAAAAGUAUUUUGCCUGUGAGAUGCAAGGGAGACCACUGAUUCAGAUUCAAACCCCAAGUUUCUCUUCAGGCUGUAGUUCUGAAUUGGAUCCCCAAAACUCUGGGGGAACUGUCUAACCUGCAGCUACCUCUGCUGUGGCGAGUUUUGGCUCAGGGUGUAGAAACAUGGAAGAUCUCAACAAAUGUUGUUAAUUCUCAUCCCUUUCUAGACCCUGGUUUUGUUCAGGUUUACCUAAGCCUACCCAGUUCUGAAGACUAGAAUCACAGUGCAGAAUACACCAGGGAGAAACAGCAUCUACUUUCUCUGAACACCUCCCUAGGAAAAGGUAAGUUUUGCUAGGAGCCAAAACCUGCCCAACCUUAUGUAAUGGCUUGUCUGAAUACACUGUGUCGCGUCCCCUGUCACCAAGCUGCUAGCCUGGUAUGGAGAACAUUAUCUCUCUUUAGGUCUGAUACACUUCUGUAACAACUCUAAACAGUAGAGAUGGUCAUUUUGCUGAGCAAAGCAAAAUCAUCCCUACCAAUAUUGAAGCUGUCCAAACAAAAAUUAGUUUCCUGAGCUGGCAUGUCUAGCUCAAUUAAUCUUGCAGCAGUGUGGGUGAAGUCAGGCUGCAUUUGCUCUUUGUCUGUUUCCAGCCAGAACUACACGUGCUGGAGAAAACUUGCUUAUUUGGAUGUCACAACAACCACUCGGGAAAUGGGACUGUAGGAACUUCAGAAAACUGAGUUGAAAGUUUAUCUUUGAGCUGCUCACAGCAAGUUUCUUCCUUCUCUAACAUAAAGAGAUGGCAUACAAUCAUGUGAAGAAGCAUUUUUACUUAUCUGGAAAGGGUAACAUUAUAACCAUGGUUUCUAAAUGCUGCCUAAAGAGCCAAUGUGUCCAAUGCUCUUUUUACAUCUUCUUGGCUGACAUAUGAAGCUUGGAGCCAGGAUUUCCAGUUACACAGAAAUCCAGGAAUAGUGCUCAGAAUUGUUCCAAAUUAAACUCUUACUGCAAUAUUUUAAAGCCGUCUGUGCAGCUUCUGACUAACCAAACUCCCUCACCCUGGAUGACAGGCUAUGGCAUGGUACGAUGAUAACCCAGCGCUUCCUAUUUUCUGUCCGUGACUUCAGCUAAACACACUGCAGCAUUACACAUUCUAUGGCAUGUCCACAAAAACUUGCUGUGCCAGGAAGAGGUAACAACCUCAAAAGCAUCUCUACCUCAUGAAAAUCACAGACCCAUUGCUGUGACAUCCUAUGAGCUCAUAUCCCCUGAAGGGAAUAAAAUAAACCAUCAAAUCAAAUGAGGAACACA
Pezoporus occidentalis (night parrot) is the source of this 1835-nucleotide long non-coding RNA. RefSeq lists it as uncharacterized. Lineage: Eukaryota; Metazoa; Chordata; Aves; Psittaciformes; Psittacidae. The record is from RefSeq and is a predicted model, not a curated record. The transcript has 2 exons.